This 498-nucleotide ribosomal RNA is filed under the name uncultured Lachnospiraceae bacterium. Its description in RNAcentral is "bacterial SSU rRNA". It matches the Rfam family "Bacterial small subunit ribosomal RNA", at positions 10 to 507 of the family's 1533-position model. The record is from RNAcentral. Lineage: Bacteria; Bacillati; Bacillota; Clostridia; Lachnospirales; Lachnospiraceae.
AGUUUGAUCCUGGCUCAGGAUGAACGCUGGCGGCGUGCCUAACACAUGCAAGUCGAACGGGGCGCGCCGAUGGAAACUUUUCGGAGCGGAAAUUGGCGCUGCCUAGUGGCGGACGGGUGAGUAACGCGUGAGCAACCUGCCCUGCACUGGGGGACAACAGCUGGAAACGGCUGCUAAUACCGCAUAGGCGCACAGCCCCGCAUGGGGCGGUGUGGAAAGUAAUAUGGUGCAGGAUGGGCUCGCGUCUGAUUAGCUUGUUGGCGGGGUAACGGCCCACCAAGGCGACGAUCAGUAGCCGGCCUGAGAGGGUGGACGGCCACAUUGGGACUGAGGCACGGCCCAGACUCCUACGGGAGGCAGCAGUGGGGGAUAUUGCACAAUGGGGGGAACCCUGAUGCAGCGACGCCGCGUGGGCGAUGGAGUACUUCGGUAUGUAAAGCCCUAUCAGCAGGGAAGAAAAUGACGGUACCUGACUAAGAAGCCCCGGCUAAAUACGUG